GUGGGGAAUAUUGGACAAUGGGCGAAAGCCUGAUCCAGCCAUGCCGCGUGUGUGAAGAAGGUCUUCGGAUUGUAAAGCACUUUAAGUUGGGAGGAAGGGCAGUAAGUUAAUACCUUGCUGUUUUGACGUUACCGACAGAAUAAGCACCGGCUAACUUCGUGCCAGCAGCCGCGGUAAUACGAAGGGUGCAAGCGUUAAUCGGAAUUACUGGGCGUAAAGCGCGCGUAGGUGGUUUUGUAAGUUGGAGGUGAAAUCCCCGGGCUCAACCUGGGAACUGCAUCCAAAACUGCAGGACUAGAGUACGGUAGAGGGUAGUGGAAUUUCCUGUGUAGCGGUGAAAUGCGUAGAUAUAGGAAGGAACACCAGCGGCGAAGGCGACUACCUGGACUGAUACUGACACUGAGGUGCGAAAGCGUGGGGAGCAAACAGGAUUAGAAACCCGGUAGUCC
This 449-nucleotide ribosomal RNA is filed under the name uncultured bacterium. RNAcentral describes it as "bacterial SSU rRNA". It matches the Rfam family "Bacterial small subunit ribosomal RNA", at positions 354 to 796 of the family's 1533-position model. The record is from RNAcentral.